GACGGGAUCCAUCGGUAGCUUGCUACCGAUGGUGAGAGUGGCGCACGGGUGCGUAACGCGUGAGCAACCUGCCCAUAUCAGGGGGAUAGCCCGGAGAAAUCCGGAUUAACACCGCAUGACACUGCUUUCCGGCAUCGGGAGGCGGUCAAAUAUUCAUAGGAUAUGGAUGGGCUCGCGUGACAUUAGCUAGUUGGUGGGGUAACGGCCCACCAAGGCGACGAUGUCUAGGGGCUCUGAGAGGAGAAUCCCCCACACUGGUACUGAGACACGGACCAGACUCCUACGGGAGGCAGCAGUAAGGAAUAUUGGUCAAUGGGGGCAACCCUGAACCAGCCAUGCCGCGUGCAGGACGACUGCCCUAUGGGUUGUAAACUGCUUUUGUUAGGGAAUAAACCCCGCUACGUGUAGCGGGCUGAAUGUACCUAAAGAAUAAGGAUCGGCUAACUCCGUGCCAGCAGCCGCGGUAAUACGGAGGAUCCGAGCGUUAUCCGGAUUUAUUGGGUUUAAAGGGUGCGUAGGCGGCACUUUAAGUCAGGGGUGAAAGACGGCAGCUCAACUGUCGCAGUGCCCUUGAUACUGAAGUGCUUGAAUGCGGUUGAAGACGGCGGAAUGAGACAAGUAGCGGUGAAAUGCAUAGAUAUGUCUCAGAACACCGAUUGCGAAGGCAGCUGUCUAAGCCGUUAUUGACGCUGAUGCACGAAAGCGUGGGGAUCGAACAGGAUUAGAUACCCUGGUAGUCCACGCCCUAAACGAUGAUGACUCGAUGUUUGCGAUAUACCGUAAGCG
RNAcentral lists this ribosomal RNA (786 nucleotides) under Sphingobacterium mizutaii. Its description in RNAcentral is "bacterial SSU rRNA". It matches the Rfam family "Bacterial small subunit ribosomal RNA", at positions 61 to 845 of the family's 1533-position model. The record is from RNAcentral. Lineage: Bacteria; Pseudomonadati; Bacteroidota; Sphingobacteriia; Sphingobacteriales; Sphingobacteriaceae.